AGCCUAGAUUUCGCCUGAGAUCGCGCCUAUAUCUGGUUCGUCGCAAGACGAUGGCGCUGAACCUCUCAAUGGACUGCGGGCAGACCCGGGGGCAGUACCCGGCGCCUCCACCUCAGCAGCUAGCUCGCGAUCUCAUCCAGGUGAGGUCGAUUUCGCCGGACGGUGAAAUGCACGGGCUGCUCAGGCGGGGGCGAAACAGGAUCGAUGGCCGCGAAGAAGUUGUGAAUUGUGCUCGGCAUGAUACCGCCGUUAUCGGGUCAAAACCUAAAUGCAAACGAUAACGUUCGCAUGAACGAAGUGCGCCUCGCGGCGUAACCGUUCGGGGUAGGUCCACCUUGCAACAGAACGGCCAUG
Molecule: transfer-messenger RNA, 354 nt
Filed under: Tardiphaga sp. OK245
Lineage: Bacteria; Pseudomonadati; Pseudomonadota; Alphaproteobacteria; Hyphomicrobiales; Nitrobacteraceae
Description: Alphaproteobacteria transfer-messenger RNA
Rfam family: Alphaproteobacteria transfer-messenger RNA
About the family: Bacterial tmRNA, also known as 10Sa RNA or SsrA, is named for its dual tRNA and mRNA-like properties. Its role is to liberate the mRNA from a stalled ribosome. To accomplish this part of the tmRNA is used as a reading frame that ends in a translation stop signal.
Source: RNAcentral